RNAcentral lists this ribosomal RNA (606 nucleotides) under uncultured bacterium. RNAcentral describes it as "bacterial SSU rRNA". It matches the Rfam family "Bacterial small subunit ribosomal RNA", at positions 338 to 944 of the family's 1533-position model. The record is from RNAcentral.
CCUACGGGAGGCAGCAGUAGGGAAUAUUGGUCAAUGGACGAAAGUCUGAACCAGCCAUGCCGCGUGAAGGAUGAAGGUCCUCUGGAUUGUAAACUUCUUUUAUCUGGGACGAAAAAAGGGCUUUCUAGCUCACUUGACGGUACCAGAGGAAUAAGCACCGGCUAACUCCGUGCCAGCAGCCGCGGUAAUACGGAGGGUGCAAGCGUUAUCCGGAUUUACUGGGUUUAAAGGGAGCGUAGGUGGGCAGGUAAGUCAGUGGUGAAAUCUCUGGGCUUAACCCGGAAACUGCCAUUGAUACUAUCUGUCUUGAAUAUCCUGGAGGUAAGCGGAAUAUGUCAUGUAGCGGUGAAAUGCUUAGAUAUGACAUAGAACACCCAUUGCGAAGGCAGCUUACUACGGGACUUAUUGACACUGAGGCUCGAAAGCGUGGGGAUCAAACAGGAUUAGAUACCCUGGUAGUCCACGCCCUAAACGACUAGGAUACUCGACAUCAGCGAUACACUGUUGUGUCUGAGCGAAGCAUAGUACUCCACCGUGGAGUACGACGCGAGGUUGAAACUACGAAAGAGUUAGACGNGNGAGAGNGACGAGACGACGAGGAGGAGG